Molecule: unclassified non-coding RNA, 234 nt
Filed under: Hevea brasiliensis (rubber tree)
Lineage: Eukaryota; Viridiplantae; Streptophyta; Magnoliopsida; Malpighiales; Euphorbiaceae
Source: RNAcentral
AAAAGAAGCGAAAGAAACUGAGUUGGGCUUGGACGAGUUAAGAAUUUAUAAGAGAAAGAGAGAAAUAAUUAUGGGGAGAGGAGACAAAGAGACAAAUAGAAAAAAGAGGCAAAUCGCUUUUCAGAUUGGAAGAAGCUGACACCAUUACUGGGAAGUCCAGAGAAGCUGCAGCACAGCUACAAAGUGUUGGGCUUUCGGCGGGAAAAAGAAGAGGUUAUUGGGAGAGAAGGAUCG